This 498-nucleotide ribosomal RNA is filed under the name uncultured Glomeromycotina. Its description in RNAcentral is "partial small subunit ribosomal RNA". It matches the Rfam family "Eukaryotic small subunit ribosomal RNA", at positions 591 to 1091 of the family's 1831-position model. The record is from RNAcentral. Lineage: Eukaryota; Fungi; Glomeromycota.
CCAAUAGCGUAUAUUAAAGUUGUUGCAGUUAAAAAGCUCGUAGUUGAAUUUCGAGACCGGUUUACUGGUCGUGCUUUUGUACGUACUGGUAUUAUUGGUUUCUCCUUUCUGACGAACUAUAAUGCCAUUAAUUUGGUGUUUUAGGGAAUCAGGACUGUUACUUUGAAAAAAUUAGAGUGUUUAAAGCAGGCUCACGCUUGAAUACAUUAGCAUGGAAUAACGGAAUAGGACGUUUGAUUCUAUUUUGUUGGUUUCUAGGAUCGACGUAAUGAUUAAUAGGGAUAGUUGGGGGCAUUAGUAUUCAAUUGUCAGAGGUGAAAUUCUUGGAUUUAUUGAAGACUAACUACUGCGAAAGCAUUUGCCAAGGAUGUUUUCAUUAAUCAAGAACGAAAGUUAGGGGAUCGAAGACGAUCAGAUACCGUCGUAGUCUUAACCAUAAACUAUGCCGACUAGGGAUCGGAUGAUGUUAAUUUUUUAAUGACUCAUUCGGCGCCUUAC